AGCUGUGGCCAUAUGAACACGGCAACAAAUGCCCAACGAAGAGCGGCAACCUUGUUGUGGCGUUGCGCAUCAAAAACCCACAUCCGUUUCCGCGCAGCGAGCUUUGGGAAUCUUUCACCAGCAGCACGCAGAGGAAGACGUAGCCACGCGCAACUGCGGCGGGCUAAAUUUCUGAAGUUUUCUUCGAAACUUCAGGAACAUGCGUGCUAAGUGGAGGAAGAAGCGUAUGCGCAGGCUAAAGCGGAAGAGGAGAAAGAUGAGGGCAAGGUCUAAGUAGACUGUCUCCCCCAUUUCAUGACUUCCUAUAAUUUUUGGCGUCCUCUCCUAAAAUUCUGGCUGCUUCUGUGGAUACUUCUCUACCACCACAAUUUUACUUAAUAAAAUUCACAGAAAAUUA
Long non-coding RNA from Thrips palmi, 397 nucleotides. RefSeq lists it as uncharacterized. The record is from RefSeq and is a predicted model, not a curated record. Lineage: Eukaryota; Metazoa; Arthropoda; Insecta; Thysanoptera; Thripidae. The transcript is spliced from 4 exons.